This 253-nucleotide ribosomal RNA is filed under the name uncultured bacterium. RNAcentral describes it as "partial 16S ribosomal RNA". It matches the Rfam family "Bacterial small subunit ribosomal RNA", at positions 524 to 776 of the family's 1533-position model. The record is from RNAcentral.
UACAGAGGGUGCGAGCGUUAAUCGGAAUUACUGGGCGUAAAGGGCGCGUAGGCGGUGUAUUAAGUUAGAUGUGAAAUCCCUGGGCUUAACCUAGGAACUGCAUCUAAUACUGGUACGCUAGAGUGCAGUAGAGGGUAGUGGAAUUUCCGGUGUAGCGGUGAAAUGCGUAGAUAUCGGAAGGAACACCAGUGGCGAAGGCGGCUACCUGGACUGACACUGACGCUGAGGCGCGAGAGCGUGGGGAGCAAACAGG